RNAcentral lists this transfer RNA (73 nucleotides) under Felis catus (domestic cat). It matches the Rfam family "tRNA". From Rfam's summary of the family: Transfer RNA (tRNA) molecules are approximately 80 nucleotides in length. The record is from Rfam by way of RNAcentral. RNAcentral also lists the same sequence under 4 other names. Lineage: Eukaryota; Metazoa; Chordata; Mammalia; Carnivora; Felidae.
GCCUGACUGGCUCAGUCCAUAGAGCAUGUGACUUUUGAUCUCUGGGUUGUGAGUUCAAGCCCCAUGUUGGGCC